Molecule: long non-coding RNA, 1028 nt
Organism: Cygnus olor (mute swan)
Lineage: Eukaryota; Metazoa; Chordata; Aves; Anseriformes; Anatidae
Exons: 5
Source: RefSeq, a predicted model, not a curated record
AUGCGCAGUAGGGCCUGGCGAGCCUGGGGGGUGUUGCCGCGGCGCUCGCUGCCGCCACCUGCGGGGCCGCGGGGCGCCCGUGCGCGGUGCGACGCGGCUGCCCCGAGGGCGCGUUUCGCCGACAGCGGCGGUGGGGGCCGUGUUGGACUUGGGGGCUGUGUCUGUGAGGCUGGCUUUCCCACAGCCCGGCCAGCUCACGCGCGCUGGGAGGCACAGAGUCCUGCUGGCUGCACGUGGUUUUGUGUGCAGCUCCUGGCAGUGAGGCAGGCAAGACCCUUUGGUGGUUACAGGCUCGAGGGUGCCACCCGUGAAUAUUGGGUGUCCACGGGCAGGAAGCGGCAGGAGCCCCAGUGCAGAACGGAGGGGCGGCAGCCCGAGGCCCAGGUCUGCCCACGCAGGGAAUUUCCAAGCAACUGCUCAGAAAAGCUCCUGGGCUGGCACUGAAGUCCCUUUAUCCCCUGUGGCCACUGUGGUCAUCUGUGUCUGGCUGAGGCUGGCAGAGCUUUGGCCCAUGUAAAGUGUGCAAGACCCCUUGGAUUGGGUAUGUGACAGCUGAGCCACCAGACCCAUAAAGAGGAGGAAGCUGGGGGAAAGAGUGAACAAGAAGUGCCUGAACUGCAAAAUCCUCCUGGUGGCACCAAGAGUGGGAACUGCAGUGGAAGAAGCCUUCUUGGCCCAAAUAAAUCCAGAACGGCAGCACUUCCUGAAAACUGGAGACUGGGUGUACAUACAAUGCUGCUGGAGGAACUCCCACCGCGAUGGCGAGGUCCAUUCCUAGUGCCAUUAACAAUGCAAAUGGCAGUGAGAGUGGAAGGAACAGACACCUGGAUCUGUGAGCGACAUGUUGUGAAGAAGAAGUAGCUAUGUUCCAGGAGCAGAUAACAGCGUGCAGCCAGCAGCUUCCCCAAGAAAGAACACUGAGGGCAAAAAAAAAAGACUUGUUGUUUUUUAGCAUUUAAUGAUUGGCAAGUUGACAGUGAGAUGGUUUUAUGUUAAUGUAAUCAUAGAGGUAAAGAGCUGGAUUUGGA